GGCUGGCGUGCGCUCCGGCCGGGCUGCCUCUCAGGUCCACGCUGGAGAAGGAGUGGUGAGGUGCGCUCGCCCCGGCUGCGUGCGGUGAUUCGGGAAAUCCCCGCACUUCGCUGGAGAAAUAGCGACGCUCUCGGAAGUGUGAGUCGGUCACUGCUUGGGGUCCGUACCCUUUGGGCAGACGUGGACCGCGCCCCGGCGACCUGGGUUGAGUGGACAGACGGGACCCGGCUUACCCAUGGGCCAAGCCCUGCCACUUAACCGAGGCCUGCCCUGCUGUGCUUUCCAGGGCGGCAACCUUGAGCUUGGGGGUGGGGAGAACGGGGCCUGACUUCUAGAAUUGCCCCUGGGGAGGUGGGAAGCGGAGGUUUGGCCCGGUGGCGCAGGAAGCCCCUGUUCCUCUCCCAAACACCAUUUCAUUAAAGAUGGAUCUUUGUGGAUGUGUU
RNAcentral lists this long non-coding RNA (443 nucleotides) under Pan troglodytes (chimpanzee). Its description in RNAcentral is "lincRNA". Lineage: Eukaryota; Metazoa; Chordata; Mammalia; Primates; Hominidae. The record is from RNAcentral.